Molecule: long non-coding RNA, 3855 nt
Filed under: Mus musculus (house mouse)
Lineage: Eukaryota; Metazoa; Chordata; Mammalia; Rodentia; Muridae
Description: long non-coding RNA chrX:152253627-152257482
Source: RNAcentral
GGGGAGGUAGUCAGGGUGAUCUCCCUACAUAACUAUGCACAUGACCAUUCUGUGUCCUCUAACGUGAACAGGGGUGAGCCAAAAACCUGGUAUGGAGUCCCAUCGCUUGCAGCGGAACACUUGGAAGAAGUGAUGAAGAAGCUGACACCUGAGCUUUUUGAUAGCCAGCCUGAUCUCCUUCACCAACUCGUCACCCUCAUGAAUCCUAACACGCUCAUGUCCCAUGGUGUGCCGGUGAGUGCCCAGAAACCAUAGGAAGGUAUAGGAAUGAUGUACUGAUGACUUUUAUGCUAGCAAUUGUAGUCUUCACUUGUGGUUUAUCCCUGCUUUCUCUUAUUCCUCUUCUGCCUUGAUGGGACUGUUUUGAGGUCUGUGAUCAUCGUGGUUGGUUAGAUAUGCAAUGUGAUAGUGAGUUCUUUCCAUGGGUUUGAGGGAUACUUUAGGCUACCUUAGGGAUAGCUUGUUAUCAUCUCUAGGUUCUAGCUAGUAAAAAAGGGAAUGGAGAGAGGACAGGUUUAGAAAGUCUUUUUGCCAGGCACUGGUUGCGCACGCCUUUAAUCCCAGCACUCGAGAGGCAGAGGCAGGUGGAUUUCUGAGCUCGAGGCCAGCCUGGUCUACAGAAUGAGUUCCAGGACAGCCAGGGCUACACAGAGAAACCCUGUCUCGAAAAACCAAAAAAGAAAGUCUUUUUGCUUUUCUUUUUAAUUAUAUAUAUUUUUGUGUGUAUGUGUGUGCCUAUGUUUCUGUAUAUGCACCACGUGUGUUCUGUGCCCAUGGAGGCCAGAGAAUAAGGGUGUUAAAUCUCCUAGAAUAGAAGUUAUAGGUGGUUAUGAGCCACUAUGUGAGUGUUGAGAACCAAACUCUUCAAGAGUAGCAAAUUCUCUUAUCCGCUGAGCCAUCUCCCCAGCCUGUCCUCUUUAGUAUCUCUGGGCUCUUUGGAUUAGCAGUAUAUAGUCUAAUCCAAAUCACCUGUGAUUUUUGUUUUAACUUGGCAGGCUACAAUUUUGUGUGGUGAUUUUUUUUUUUUUUUUUUUUUUGUAAAUUUUGUACAAUAAAGUUUUGGUAAUCUAAUAAAUUUUUUUUAAAAAAAGUUUUGGUAAAUUAAAAAAAGAAAAAGAGACAGACAGACAAGGGAUGAAAGCAGGUGGUAGAGUACUUGCCUAACAUGCACAAAGCCCUGGGUUCAGUCUCCAGUAUAGCAAAAUGAUCAUAAACACUAGCAAUGAUGUGGGAAGCCCCAAAUAGUGUAGUAAACACAGGGAAGUUCUUCAAACCUUUGAAAAUAAAACUACCAUAUGAUGUAGCAAUCCUUUUUUUUAAUUAUUUUUUUUAAGAUUUAUUUAUUGUAUGUUAGUACACUGUUGCUAUCUUCAGACACACCAGAAGAGGACAUCAGAUCCCAUUACAGAUGGUUGUGAGCCACCAUGUGGUUGCUGGGAAUUGAACUCGGGACCUCUGGAAGAGCAGUCUGUGUUAACUGCUGAGCCAUCUCUCCAGCCCAUGAUGUAGCAAUUCUACUACAGGUUCUAUAACCAAAGGAAACAAAAUUGGCAUUUUGAAAAGAUAUCUGCACUCCCAUGUUUAUUGUAACACUAUUUACAAAACAGCCAAGAAAAGAAAACCUGCCUAAGAUGUCUAAAUUAAAGAAAAUGUAAUAUAUAAUAUACACACUGGAAUGCUAUUCAGAAAUUAAAAAGGAUAAAAUCAUAUUAUUUGUGACAUCACAGAUGGAACUGGUGAGCACUACAUUAAAGCUUUGUUUAAGUCUUUGUACCAUGUCAUGUGUGUCACCCAACCCCAACAUACACACUUCCCUUCCUUUGGGAAAGGUCAUUUAUUUUUAAAAAGCAUAUCUCCUUUCCCAAAAAUGGAAAAUUGAUCAUUCCCUAUUCCAACUAUCCUAAACAUAUGUUAUAUUUCCGUGGUGAUUUUUUUUUUAUGUCAAGUUUGAUAUAUCAGUAAAACUGUGAAUUUAUAAUUUCUUGUAUGUAUUUCUAGCUUAAUACCCAUUAGUCACAUGUGGCCACCAAGCAUUUCAGAUGUGUCUAGUCCCAUAUCAAAUGUACUGAGAGUAUAAAAUGGAUGUUGUAAUUCAAGAUUUAGUACUAAUGUAAAGUAUAGAGUAUCUCAUGAAUACUUUUGUUUACUACCUAAAUACCGAGACAACAAUAUUCUGGCUUUGUUAAGUAAAAUACACUAAAAUUAUUUUAUGUUUUUUUCAAACUUGUUUAUUUAUAUAUAUUUUUUUAAUGUGGCUACUAAAGAAUUUUAAAAUAGCCAGGCAUGAUGUUAUGUGCCUUAUAACAUGAACUGUUUGAGAAGCUGAGUCAAGAGUUCAAUGCCUGUAGCUCAGCAGAACAUUUGUCUAGCAUUCACAAGGGCCUGUGUUCAGUAUCUGUGCUCUAGCAGUACCAGGCAAGGAAAGAAACUUUUUCCAAGUACCUUUGUGCUUAGAAAUAUACUUGGUAUAUUUCUCUUGACAGUGCUGGUCUAUAACUACUAUUGUAUUUUUUAAAAACAACUUUAUUGCAGUAUGACCUGUAUUGUGUAAAAUUCAUCCAUUUUAAGUGUAUAACCUAGAUGUCCUUAGAGAUGUUUGCUGUUGUCACUGUAAUUCAGUUUUAAAACAUUUUUGCCACCCCAGAAAAACCCCUUAUUCACAGUCAUUCUCCAUUCUAUCCUAUAGGACUAGGUGACUGUUUAAUUUUCUGGUUCUAUAUUUGCCUUCCUUGCUUGUUCAUACAAGUAGAAUACUGUUUGGUCUUUUGUGGGGGGCUUCUCUCAGUGGGUCUUAGAGACCUGAGUUUGAACUCCAGGGUCCAUGUAGUGAAAGAACCAUAUUUCUCAUUUUUAAUAGCUGUAAAAUAGAAUGACUACUUCUUGUUGUUUGUUUUGUUAUUGAGUUACUGUUUCACUGUGUAACCUAGGCCAGCCUUAAACUUGUUAGGUAGUUCAGCCUGACAUCAAACUUGUGAUUCUCCUACAUUAGCCUUCCAGAUGCUGGGAUUGUCGAAAUGUACCUGCAAAUGUAUCUGGAUAGGGGUGUUUUUUUUAAAGUACCAUGAAACGAACAGAAAAGUAACACUGGCAAAAUAAGCUUAAGAGGAAAUUAGGAACAUUCUUUUCCUGGUCUGCUAGCUGAGGCUUCUCUGGAACUUGGUUUUUACAUCUAUGAAAUUAUAAAAUAGAUAUUGCUAAAGUACUUUCUGUGUAUAAAACCACUGGUCACCACCCUGAAGGUCAAUAAAACAAUUCCUGCCUUGGGUGUGUGCCCAUAAGUGGAAGAAAGAGAACAGUAAACAAUUAAAAUAAGUUGGGAGACACCAUAGAACAGCAGAGUGGGCCUUUUAGGAUUUGCGUUAUCUGGACCAGGUUUUUAAAAGUAUUUAUAUAUUUAAUUUGUUUCUUUAAAUAAGAAGUUUCACAAAGUUUUAGAAGGUGAACAUUUGGGGCUAUCCAUUUCACAGUCCUAUUUAAAAGAGUAAGAAUUUACCUGCUAAACUUUAUCUAUGUAAUCAUGAAAUUUAUUCUAGAGGCUUUGGGUGAGGCGUGCCAUAGAGGAGUUGUUGUUGUUAUUAUUUACAAAACAUUUCUGGUGAUUGGUGGAAGCCAUAGCAAUAAUAAAAGCAAGAAGUGUUUUGAGGCUGACUUUAUUUAAGAAGAAAAUGUGAUGGUGAUACAUCAUCAAUAGGAAGAUUUAUAUUAGAUAUUGAUAUGCUUCAAAUUUUUCUGGAAUUGUAGCAGAUUUACUGAGCUGAAACAAACCAGGUUCUUGAUGUGUAUUAGCAGGUUAGUGAGAUGGCUAUAUAGUCAAAGAUCAUGGCUUUAACCUCUCGCACCAAGUAAAUAAAUAAU